Molecule: small RNA, 1773 nt
Filed under: Drosophila ananassae
Lineage: Eukaryota; Metazoa; Arthropoda; Insecta; Diptera; Drosophilidae
Description: GF27476
Source: RNAcentral
CCCCAUGUGAAUACUCGCAACUCGCAACCUGUAACCCCCAGCAAAAAACCACAAAGCAACGAGGAGAACAUGAACUCGCAAUUCAACUGCCAACAAGUUUAUAACUUUUUUCGGCACGCUCGGCUGCCGGAUUGAUUCGAUUAAAACGUCAACAGUGGCAGGCAGGCAGUCAGACUGGCAGGCUGGCUGGGGCUGGCUGGCAACUGGAAAUGAAGCUGAAGCUGAAGCUAAGGAAAAACAAUUCACCACACAGACACACGCACGCUCGCUUGGGAGAGGAUACAUAUACGAAGGUCCUGUCAUAUCCAUCUCGAUCUCGUUGCCUGCAAAGUUGUCACACCAAAUUUUGCUUUACUUUUAUUUUGUCAUCUUCGGCUCGUGUCUGUUGUUUAUCCAGCCUUGAUGUCGUCGCACACUCGCAGCAGCCCUUUUGACAUUUUGCCUCAGCCGCAGGCAGGGCGGUGUCAGGAGGGUCUGAGGUCAGGGCACGCCAGGCCUUAGCCUGUCAUGUCGUUUGAUCUUUUAUUGUGUUUGUUUUACGAGGCGCAGUAAAUCCCUUUUAAAUUGCAAAUUCUUUAUGCUCGCAUUUUCGGCUCACGCAUAAACACCCUGCCAGAAAAAGCCCUCCCUCUGAAAGCCCCCGAAUCCUACUCAUAUGCAGAAGGGAGAUAAGUGAAAGUGACUGAGUCCUGUCGCCAACGACGCGUUGUCACUUGGAUAUAUUUUUCACCUACCACACCCACGCUCCAACGCCAACGCCCACGGCAGUGCUGGCCCAGUUUGCUGGCCAUUCGCCAGCCACCCCUGCCUGUUGUGAAUGUGGAAUCCUUGUCGGAGUCGUUUGCAGCUCAUGAUUCACUUUCGAUUGAUUUGCUGGCGGUGUCCAUUCGGUUAAUUGAAAUACAAAACUGUUUAUGUGCUCUAAAGUUUUUCCCCAAGUCCAGGCCCCGAAAUUGAUGAUGAGCCAUAAACAAAAAUUACAAAAAAUGAGCUGGACAAAAAGGUUGCGUGCCAUUCGGAGGGUCAAAGUGUAAUUAACUUCGUCGCUAGCCUUCAUUUGCAGCCCAUCAAGGAGAUGAAGGAGCGAAUUAGGAGAACCGAAUACGGAAUGUGGGCUAAGGAUUACAGUAUACGGAAUCCGGUAGAACAAAAGAAACAAAACAAGGGCCGCAAUCCCCAGCAUUUCAACGCCUAUUACAACUGCAAAUGAACCCAUAAACCCAUUUAAGCAAUGCCCGAAACACGGAAAACUUUUCCACCACGACGCCGGCGACGACAAAGGGCAUUUCCCGAAGCAGCGAACAAAUCCAGGGGGCGUAGGUUCCGUCCAGCCUUUCUGAUUAUUGCUCAGCACUUGAAAAGUUUUCUUUGGGCGGCGGCUUACUGCCUGCCAGAACUUUACUUACACCUAAAGCUCCCGCCAGACCUCACCCACCUCACCGAAAACCCUAAAAACCUACAAGGCAAGGCCAGCACUUUGAAUAAGAGAUAAAACUGUUACGUGCCUCGUGUCUGACUGAAUGGAGAAAUAUUUCUCUUAUCGCAGUGAAAAGAUGUUUCGUGCCCUGCGUGUUUACCUUGGACGUAGUUGUUGCUGUUGCCCAUGCUUUUUCCUAUCCCGGUCCUAACCUGGUCCUAACACUGGUCAAAAAAGGACUUUGUAAGAGCCAUUCAUCAAGCAAAUAGCACAGUAUGCAUUCAUCUAUGGAAUUAUUCAAAAGAUCCUUUAAAUGUAUAUUGAAAUGCUACCCAAUAGAUAUUCAUUUCACAACA